Long non-coding RNA from Olea europaea var. sylvestris, 642 nucleotides. RefSeq lists it as uncharacterized. The record is from RefSeq and is a predicted model, not a curated record. The transcript has 2 exons. Lineage: Eukaryota; Viridiplantae; Streptophyta; Magnoliopsida; Lamiales; Oleaceae.
UAACUUUGGCAGCCUGGUUUUGCAGUGCUGGUGGAGUGUUACUAUUGUCAGCAAGCAAUAAAUGAAGCUACAGCCACAAGAAAAUAAAGACAGAAUUAUGCAAAACCAAUUUCAUUUGCAUAAUCAGUAGCAAACUUUGCUUGCUUAGUCAUGUAAUUAAUGAAUUAACUCUGGGUUUUUCGUCAAGAACAGAUUUGUUCCUUGUUGAAAUUGCCAACAGCAGGGAGAAGAAGUUGGAUUGAACGACGUCCGGCCGUAAGGAACAAUUGUAUAAAAAAGUUCUUGGCUUGGAGAGGUUAAAAUUGGAGCUUCAAGCAUGUGGAUUGAAAUGUGGAGGUACUUUGCAAGAACGUGCUGCCGGGCUUUUUCUGCUCAAAACGACACCUUUGGAGAUGCUUCCAAAGAAGCUGUUUGCCAAGAAAUGAAAAGCCUUGUAUGCUUAUGUAAACUUAGUUUCAGUUUGGAGCUAAUUGAAAAUAAACUUCCUUUUCUUCUCACUUGAUCAAACUUCAAGUUUUGAAAUACUCGGGUGAAGAUAUCUACUAAUCUAGCUUCAACUAAAUGUGUUGUAUAAGGAAUAUCAUUUCUGCAAUUUGUAUUAUGGUUUAGAUUGAAUUGUUUAUGUUUCUACUGAUUGUUACU